UUGAUCCUGGCUCAGGAUGAACGCUGGCGGUCUGCUUAACACAUGCAAGUCGAACGCAACCUUCGGGUUGAGUGGCGGACGGGUGAGUAACGCGUGAGAAUCUGCCUUGGGGUCGGGGACAACCACUGGAAACGGUGGCUAAUACCGGAUAAGCCUUUGGGUAAAAAAUUUAUUGCCCCAAGAGGAGCUCGCGUCUGAUUAGCUAGUUGGUGAGGUAAAAGCUCACCAAGGCAGCGAUCAGUAGCUGGUCUGAGAGGACGAUCAGCCACACUGGGACUGAGACACGGCCCAGACUCCUACGGGAGGCAGCAGUGGGGAAUUUUCCGCAAUGGGCGAAAGCCUGACGGAGCAAGACCGCGUGAGGGAGGAAGGCUCUUGGGUUGUAAACCUCUUUUCUCAGGGAAGAAGCUCUGACGGUACCUGAGGAAUCAGCCUCGGCUAACUCCGUGCCAGCAGCCGCGGUAAUACGGAGGAGGCAAGCGUUAUCCGGAAUUAUUGGGCGUAAAGCGUCCGCAGGUGGCGAUUCAAGUCUGCUGUCAAAGCACGGGGCUUAACUCCGUUAAGGCAGUGGAAACUGAAUAGCUAGAGUGCCGUAGGGGUAGAGGGAAUUCCCGGUGUAGCGGUGAAAUGCGUAGAGAUCGGGAAGAACAUCGGUGGCGAAAGCGCUCUACUGGACGGCAACUGACACUCAGGGACGAAAGCUAGGGGAGCGAAUGGGAUUAGAUACCCCAGUAGUCCUAGCUGUAAACGAUGGAUACUAGGUGUAGCUUGUAUCGACCCGAGCUGUGCCGAAGCUAACGCGUUAAGUAUCCCCGCCUGGGGAGUACGCACGCAAGUGUGAAACUC
RNAcentral lists this ribosomal RNA (846 nucleotides) under uncultured organism. RNAcentral describes it as "bacterial SSU rRNA". It matches the Rfam family "Bacterial small subunit ribosomal RNA", at positions 13 to 902 of the family's 1533-position model. The record is from RNAcentral.